This 213-nucleotide small RNA is filed under the name Mus musculus (house mouse). Its description in RNAcentral is "partial Mus_sgms1_2342". The record is from RNAcentral. Lineage: Eukaryota; Metazoa; Chordata; Mammalia; Rodentia; Muridae.
CCAUUUGAUUCUGUUUAGAAGAUAGCCACCGACUCCGAAGGGAAAGCUUCAGUGGCUGAUGGAGCUGUGACCUUUUGAGCAGGGUACAUUUGGAGCACAGAGCCGGGCAUAUAAUAUACAAGACAGCACAGACCGGAAGAAAGACUGAUGAAGAAAAGUAACAGCAUGAUUGAGGGUGAAGGCAGAGAGAGCGGUACCCCAGGACAGACCUCG